RNAcentral lists this ribosomal RNA (669 nucleotides) under uncultured Lachnospiraceae bacterium. RNAcentral's name for it is "bacterial SSU rRNA". It matches the Rfam family "Bacterial small subunit ribosomal RNA", at positions 63 to 747 of the family's 1533-position model. Lineage: Bacteria; Bacillati; Bacillota; Clostridia; Lachnospirales; Lachnospiraceae. The record is from RNAcentral.
UUUAUUGAAGCUUCGGCAGAUUUAGCUGGUUUCUAGUGGCGGACGGGUGAGUAACGCGUGGGUAACCUGCCUUAUACAGGGGGAUAACAACCAGAAAUGGUUGCUAAUACCGCAUAAGCGCACAGGACCGCAUGGUCCGGUGUGAAAAACUCCGGUGGUAUAAGAUGGACCCGCGUUGGAUUAGCUAGUUGGCAGGGUAACGGCCUACCAAGGCGACGAUCCAUAGCCGGCCUGAGAGGGUGAACGGCCACAUUGGGACUGAGACACGGCCCAGACUCCUACGGGAGGCAGCAGUGGGGAAUAUUGCACAAUGGGGGAAACCCUGAUGCAGCGACGCCGCGUGAAGGAAGAAGUAUCUCGGUAUGUAAACUUCUAUCAGCAGGGAAGAUAGUGACGGUACCUGACUAAGAAGCCCCGGCUAACUACGUGCCAGCAGCCGCGGUAAUACGUAGGGGGCAAGCGUUAUCCGGAUUUACUGGGUGUAAAGGGAGCGUAGACGGACUGGCAAGUCUGAUGUGAAAGGCGGGGGCUCAACCCCUGGACUGCAUUGGAAACUGUUAGUCUUGAGUGCCGGAGAGGUAAGCGGAAUUCCUAGUGUAGCGGUGAAAUGCGUAGAUAUUAGGAGGAACACCAGUGGCGAAGGCGGCUUACUGGACGGUAACUGACGUU